AACGAACGCUGGCGGCAUGCCUAACACAUGCAAGUCGAACGAGACCUUCGGGUCUAGUGGCGCACGGGUGCGUAACGCGUGGGAACCUGCCCUUAGGUUCGGAAUAACUCCCCGAAAGGGGUGCUAAUACCGGAUAAUGUCUUCGGACCAAAGAUUUAUCGCCUUUGGAUGGGCCCGCGUUGGAUUAGCUAGUUGGUAGGGUAAAAGCCUACCAAGGCGACGAUCCAUAGCUGGUCUGAGAGGAUGAUCAGCCACACUGGGACUGAGACACGGCCCAGACUCCUACGGGAGGAAGCAGUGGGGAAUAUUGGACAAUGGGCGAAAGCCUGAUCCAGCAAUGCCGCGUGAGUGAUGAAGGCCUUAGGGUUGUAAAGCUGUUUUACCCGGGAUGAUAAUGACAGUACCGGGAGAAUAAGCUCCGGCUAACUCCGUG
Molecule: ribosomal RNA, 433 nt
Filed under: uncultured bacterium
Lineage: Bacteria
Description: partial 16S ribosomal RNA
Rfam family: Bacterial small subunit ribosomal RNA
Source: RNAcentral